This 524-nucleotide ribosomal RNA is filed under the name uncultured eukaryote. RNAcentral's name for it is "SSU rRNA". It matches the Rfam family "Eukaryotic small subunit ribosomal RNA", at positions 21 to 549 of the family's 1831-position model. The record is from RNAcentral.
UAGUCAUAUGCUUGUCUCAAAGAUUAAGCCAUGCAUGUCUAAGUAUAAACUGCUUUAUACUGUGAAACUGCGAAUGGCUCAUUAAAUCAGUUAUAGUUUAUUUGAUGGUACUUACUUACUCGGAUACCCGUAGUAAUUCUAGAGCUAAUACGUGCGUACAUCCCGACUUCUGGAAGGGACGUAUUUAUUAGAUAAAAGGCCGACCGGGCUUGCCCGACUCGCGGUGACUCAUGAUAACUUCACGAAUCGCAUGGCCUUGCGCCGGCGAUGUUUCAUUCAAAUUUCUGCCCUAUCAACUUUUGAUGGUAGGAUAGAGGCCUACCAUGGUGGUAACGGGUGACGGAGAAUUAGGGUUCGAUUCCGGAGAGGGAGCCUGAGAAACGGCUACCACAUCCAAGGAAGGCAGCAGGCGCGCAAAUUACCCAAUCCUGAUACAGGGAGGUAGUGACAAUAAAUAACAAUACCGGGCCUUUGGUCUGGUAAUUGGAAUGAGUACAACCUAAACACCUUAACGAGGAUCAAUG